UGCAGUCACUGUGGAGGUCAUCAGUAGCCAUUGUGAAAAUGACCUGUAACCAGGGAACCAAAGAUAAUAGAACUGCUGUUCCUAUCACUAAUAAAUGAUCACUGGCAGAGGAUUUAUCAAGCAUGCGCUUGUCAGCAGCAGCAGAAAAGCACUCAGUGUCUUAGCAGCAGUUGGACUCUGACACUGCACUCUUCUAUGGUUUUGAUGUGUGCAUGUAAAGGCCAGAAAAGGGCAAGAAUCUUACAAGGAGUCAAAUCUUAGUUACUUUUGUUAAACACUGGAAUGAUUUGACAUGGACAAUGAGCUGUCAUAAUGACAGAAUUGACUGAGAUAUAAAACAUAGAUUAAACUAUAUGACAUAAUUCUGCUGAAGUUCAUGUUUCCUAGAACUGUGGAAGAGCAAGGAGAUUUGGUUACAAUAGUGACCUUCACAAAGACUUCUGAUGAAGGGUAUGAGAUGUGUGGGAGAGCUAAACAGAAAACAUGUCAACAAUGAAUCAAGACUAAGAAAACAAGUUAACACAUUCUGUUAAUAUUAUU
This 540-nucleotide long non-coding RNA is filed under the name Mus spicilegus (steppe mouse). RNAcentral's name for it is "lncRNA (ENSMSIG00000029778.1)". The record is from RNAcentral. Lineage: Eukaryota; Metazoa; Chordata; Mammalia; Rodentia; Muridae.